UUUGUUGCUUUAAGCCACUAAAUAUUAGGAUAAUUUGUUAUGUGGCAACAGAUAACUAAUACAUGUGAUCAACCCUCAAAACAAGAUACGGUAAGGCUACCACAGAGUCCUGGAGAAGGAGAAGUGACUCAACAUACUCUCUGUUCCAACUGCACUGGGCUGCUGGCUGCUUCUCAGACACGCCAUGCUUUUCCAUGACUCCGCGGCUUUCUCCAUGCUGUUCACUCAAUGAAGGGCCUCGCAUGGAACAGCAUCCUGGAACAGAUCCUUCCCUCACAGCCCUCAGAAGGAACCAACCCUGCCAACACCUUGAUCUUGGACUUCUAGCCUCUAGAACUGUGAAAUGGGUCCUCAGUUUCUCCAUUGAUGGACUCUGGAUAGUAAUCCUUGCUGGUGACAGGAUUCUUAUGGAAAUCAAAAAGAUUUUGCAACUUGAAAGUGCCUUGUAACAUAUAUUUCAGACACAAAUGUGAAGAUGUUAUUAACAUAAGGUUUUUCUUUGGAAGAACAUCCAGGAGAAAAACAAGAUGCAUCUUUGCAGUCUUUUCUUGGACGAGCAUAUUUACAGUGGCAUGUGGAAGCUUUGUUGAUAUCUAACAGGAUUGUGUCAAAUGAAAUCUCC
RNAcentral lists this long non-coding RNA (622 nucleotides) under Equus caballus (horse). RNAcentral's name for it is "lncRNA (ENSECAG00000054178.1)". Lineage: Eukaryota; Metazoa; Chordata; Mammalia; Perissodactyla; Equidae. The record is from RNAcentral.